This is a long non-coding RNA of Daphnia pulicaria, 432 nucleotides long. RefSeq lists it as uncharacterized. The transcript is spliced from 3 exons. The record is from RefSeq and is a predicted model, not a curated record. NCBI's taxonomy places the organism in Eukaryota, Metazoa, Arthropoda, Branchiopoda, Diplostraca, Daphniidae.
ACCUAUCACCACGCUCCUGCAAUACUUCAUGACACUUUCUUUAGCAUCAGGAAAUUUAUCUCAACAUGUGGAGUAAUGCUGUUGGUUGCUGUGAAUUCCAUUUUUACGGCUUUGUCAUCAUGAACUUUUCAGUGUCCUUCUUAGAAAAGAGAACGCAGUUUCUUUGUGGAAUCGUGUGGUCCUGGCACGGAGAUUCUUGAGCCAACGCUGGCUUUUGUCCAUGACCAACGUUCUGCUCCAUCCUUAUCUUCCCGACGUAAGCUCAUCCAGAUUCUGCUUCAUCGCUUCGUACACAAAAAUACAACUUGUCUUACUUCACUGACGAGUUGGAACACUUCAGUGGUCGCUUCCGUGCCGCUGUUACACACCUGCAGUCAUUCACCACGGGAUUAUGCCCAGGUAAUGCAGAGGAGACGUCGAGAAGAUGGACAC